RNAcentral lists this transfer RNA (86 nucleotides) under Spongiactinospora rosea. RNAcentral's name for it is "Sphaerisporangium sp. LHW63015 tRNA-Leu". It matches the Rfam family "tRNA". From Rfam's summary of the family: Transfer RNA (tRNA) molecules are approximately 80 nucleotides in length. Lineage: Bacteria; Bacillati; Actinomycetota; Actinomycetes; Streptosporangiales; Streptosporangiaceae. The record is from RNAcentral.
GGGCGGGUGGCGGAACGGCAGACGCGGACGGUUCAGGUCCGCGUGUUCGAAAGGACGUGAGGGUUCAAAUCCCUCCUCGCCCACCC